Molecule: ribosomal RNA, 497 nt
Filed under: uncultured bacterium
Lineage: Bacteria
Description: bacterial SSU rRNA
Rfam family: Bacterial small subunit ribosomal RNA
Source: RNAcentral
GGCUCAGAUUGAACGCUGGCGGCAGGCCUAACACAUGCAAGUCGAACGGCAGCGGGGGGUAGCUUGCUACCCCGCCGGCGAGUGGCGGACGGGUGAGUAAUGCCUGGGGAGCUGCCCAAUCGAGGGGGAUACCAGUUGGAAACGACUGCUAAUACCGCAUACGCCCUGAGGGGGAAAGGUGGGGAUCUUCGGACCUACCGCGAUUGGAUGCACCCAGGUGGGAUUAGCUAGUUGGUGAGGUAACGGCUCACCAAGGCGACGAUCUCUAGCUGGUCUGAGAGGAUGACCAGCCACACUGGAACUGAGACACGGUCCAGACUCCUACGGGAGGCAGCAGUAGGGAAUAUUGCACAAUGGGGGAAACCCUGAUGCAGCCAUGCCGCGUGUGUGAAGAAGGCCUUCGGGUUGUAAAGCACUUUCAGCGAGGAGGAAAGGGUGGCGGCUAAUACCUGUCAUCUGUGACGUUACUCGCAGAAGAAGCACCGGCUAACUCCGUG